AGAGUUUGAUCCUGGCUCAGAACGAACGCUGGCGGCGUGCCUAACACAUGCAAGUCGAGCGGGAUGAGGGGCUUGCUCCUCAUCUAGUGGCGCACGGGUGAGUAACGCGUAGAUAAUCUGCCUGACGAUCUGGGAUAACACUUCGAAAGGGGUGCUAAUACCGGAUAAGCCCGCGUGAUCUUUGGAUCGUGCGGGAAAAGGGGGGGACCUUUUGGCCUUCUGUCGUCAGAUGAGUCUGCGUACCAUUAGCUAGUUGGUAGGGUAAAGGCCUACCAAGGCGACGAUGGUUAGCUGGUCUGAGAGGAUGAUCAGCCACACUGGAACUGAGACACGGUCCAGACUCCUACGGGAGGCAGCAGUGGGGAAUUUUGCGCAAUGGGCGAAAGCCUGACGCAGCAACGCCGCGUGAGUGAUGAAGGCUUUCGGGUCGUAAAGCUCUGUCGAGGGGAAAGAAGUGUACGGAGGUUAAUACCCUCUGUAUUUGACGGUACCCCUAAAGGAAGCACCGGCUAACUCCGUGCCAGCAGCCGCGGUAAUACGGGGGGUGCAAGCGUUGUUCGGAAUUAUUGGGCGUAAAGCGCGUGUAGGCGGUUUGAUUAGUCUGAUGUGAAAGCCCUGGGCUCAACCCAGGAAGUGCAUUGGAAACUGUCAGACUUGAAUACGGGAGAGGGUAGUGGAAUUCCUAGUGUAGGAGUGAAAUCCGUAGAUAUUAGGAGGAACACCGGUGGCGAAGGCGGCUGCCUGGACCGAUAUUGACGCUGAGACGCGAAAGCGUGGGUAGCAAACAGGAUUAGAUACCCUGGUAGUCCACGCCGUAAACGAUGAGAACUAGGUGUUGCGGGUAUUGACCCCUGCAGUGCCGCAGCUAACGCAUUAAGUUCUCCGCCUGGGAAGUACGGUCGCAAGACUAAAACUCAAAUGAAUUGACGG
Molecule: ribosomal RNA, 930 nt
Filed under: uncultured bacterium
Lineage: Bacteria
Description: bacterial SSU rRNA
Rfam family: Bacterial small subunit ribosomal RNA
Source: RNAcentral